GUAGGGAAUCUUCCACAAUGGACGAAAGUCUGAUGGAGCAACGCCGCGUGAGUGAAGAAGGUCUUCGGAUCGUAAAACUCUGUUGUUAGAGAAGAACGUGCAUGAUAGUAACUGAUCAUGUAAUGACGGUAUCUAACCAGAAAGCCACGGCUAACUACGUGCCAGCAGCCGCGGUAAUACGUAGGUGGCAAGCGUUGUCCGGAUUUAUUGGGCGUAAAGGGAACGCAGGCGGUUUUUUAAGUCUGAUGUGAAAGCCUUCGGCUUAACCGAAGAAUAGCAUUGGAAACUGGAAGACUUGAGUGCAGAAGAGGAGGGUGGAAUUCCAUGUGUAGCGGUGAAAUGCGUAGAUAUAUGGAGGAACACCAGUGGCGAAAGCGGCUCUCUGGUCUGUAACUGACGCUGAGGUACGAAAGCUAGGGUAGCAAACAGGAUUAGAAACCCGAGUAGUCC
RNAcentral lists this ribosomal RNA (450 nucleotides) under uncultured bacterium. RNAcentral describes it as "partial 16S ribosomal RNA". It matches the Rfam family "Bacterial small subunit ribosomal RNA", at positions 354 to 796 of the family's 1533-position model. The record is from RNAcentral.